GCCUAAUAUCCACUGCAGUUUUCAUGCCACUCAAUAUAAAGAAACAGUGAACUAAGUCAUCAUUCUCUUUCUAACGCCUUGUUCUGUCAGGAUUUAUCUGAAGACCAGAAAACUCAUAGAACCUCUGAAGCACCUCACAAAUACCAAUAACUCAUUUCAUAGUCCCAUUUUUAAACACCAACGAUACACCUUGAACAGGUUCCCAUCUAGGACUCUAUAGACAAAAGGCUUGUCCAAAGGGCAGAAGGGCGACCAAAAUA
This 260-nucleotide long non-coding RNA is filed under the name Linum usitatissimum (flax). Its description in RNAcentral is "long non-coding RNA (LUSI_LNC000639)". Lineage: Eukaryota; Viridiplantae; Streptophyta; Magnoliopsida; Malpighiales; Linaceae. The record is from RNAcentral.